AGUGACCGAGAGCAUUGUUUUCCACGAUAUACUAUGUGUUACUGAACCCCACAUCAAAGUGAAGUUUGAUCUUGUUUUUGUGCUGUUUUGUCAGUUAUGCCACCGUUCAUAUACUUGCACCUUAUAUUGUCGAUUAUUGUGGGAAUCAUUCGCGCUCAAGUGAUCUUCACUGACCCAUUCGAAAAUGGGGGACCCAAAGGAAGUCCCUGCAUCGCAAAGGGCGGAGGAAAGGGCCUAUGCACCGAGAUUUCGGAAUGUCUAGGAAUCAGAGACACUUUCAGAACCAACCCCCCUGCCAACUGUGGGUUCAACGGGAAUUCCCCGAUCGUUUGUUGCCCAGUUGAAGAGGCAGCUUCUGGAGAUUUCACCUUAGAUAUUUCGACUCCAAGUUCAUUUUCAGUCGCCUCAUGCAGUCGAAUCAUAUCUACAUUUUCGCUUGUCGGGGGAUUUGAGUCACAGAGGAAUGCGUGGCCAUGGAUGGCACUCAUAGGGAUCAAAGAAGAAGAUGGCGCUGACUGGUUCUGUGGAGGCGUUCUCAUCAAUGACCAAUGGGUUCUUACGGCAGCUCACUGCUUGGACACUAGGAUACCUACCAUAGUGAGGCUUGGUGAACACAACUACGAAAGUGCGAGUGACGAUGCAAAUGAGGAAGACUUCGAAAUUUCGCAACUGGUUCGGCACCCAAAUUAUUCAUUCCCAGUCGCCUACCAUGACCUUGCUCUGAUGCAGCUCUCGACUAAGGUCAUUCUGGAGAUACAUAUAUCUCCCGUGUGCUUACCUUGGGGAGCCGAAAUCCAGAGGAAUCUGACAGGAAGCACCGUGAAACUAACUGGAUGGGGACACACUCAAUUCGCUGGAAGGCCGAGUCCAGCCCUGCAGGAGGUAGACGUCACUAUGUUCCCGAUUUUCACCUGCCAAAGUGCCUACUCAACCCUCAGGCAGUCCAGCGUCCACUGGCCCAGAGGCAUCGGGCAGGAGACGGUUUGCGCUGGGCACGAGCAAGGAGGCCGAGACGCUUGUCAAAAGUGAUCUUCACAGACCCAUUCGAAAGUGAGGGACCCACAGGGAGUCCCUGCAUCGCAAAGGGCGGAGGACGGGGCCUAUGCACCAAGAUUUCGGAAUGUCCAGGAAUCAGAGACACUUUCAGGACCAACCCCCCUGCCAACUGUGGGUUCAACGGGAAUUCCCCGAUCGUUUGUUGCCCAGUUGAAGAGGCAGCAUCUGGAGAUUCUGCCUUGGAUAUUUCGACCCCAAGUUCAUCUUCAAUCACCGCAUGCGGUCGAAGUGUCGUCGAAUUCAUAUUCCCGAGGUUUGAGAGGGCUAUUGAAUUGCUUGAGGAAUUUGUGGAUCUUCUAGAUAUUACCGAAAGCCCCCCGGUUGUCGGGGGAUUUGAGACACAGAGGAAUGCGUGGCCUUGGAUGGUACUCAUAGGGAUCAACGAAGAAGAUGGCUUUGACUGGUUCUGUGGAGGCGUUCUCAUCAAUGACCAAUGGGUUCUUACGGCAGCUCACUGCUUGGACACUAGGUAAGCU
This is an RNA transcript of Macrobrachium nipponense, 1532 nucleotides long. It is a transcript of the gene named trypsin-like, with no coding region annotated. The record is from RefSeq and is a predicted model, not a curated record. The transcript has 12 exons. NCBI's taxonomy places the organism in Eukaryota, Metazoa, Arthropoda, Malacostraca, Decapoda, Palaemonidae.